This 31-nucleotide non-coding RNA is filed under the name Mus musculus (house mouse). Lineage: Eukaryota; Metazoa; Chordata; Mammalia; Rodentia; Muridae. The record is from RNAcentral.
UAAUCUUCUGGAAUUCAUAGCCACUAUGCCU